Pongo abelii (Sumatran orangutan) is the source of this 148-nucleotide unclassified non-coding RNA. It matches the Rfam family "Metazoan signal recognition particle RNA". Rfam says of the family: The signal recognition particle (SRP) is a universally conserved ribonucleoprotein. It is involved in the co-translational targeting of proteins to membranes. Lineage: Eukaryota; Metazoa; Chordata; Mammalia; Primates; Hominidae. The record is from Ensembl.
GCCGGGCGUGGUGGUGGGCGCCUGUAAUCCCAGCUACUUGGGAGGCUGAGGCAGGAGAAUUGCUUGAACCCGGGACGCGGAGGUUGCAGUGAGCUGAGAUCACACCACUGCACUCCAGCCUGGGCAACAGAGCAAGACUCUGUCUCAA